CUACGGGGGGCAGCAGUAGGGAAUCUUCGGCAAUGGACGGAAGUCUGACCGAGCAACGCCGCGUGAGUGAAGAAGGUUUUCGGAUCGUAAAGCUCUGUUGUAAGAGAAGAACGAGUGUGAGAGUGGAAAGUUCACACUGUGACGGUAUCUUACCAGAAAGGGACGGCUAACUACGUGCCAGCAGCCGCGGUAAUACGUAGGUCCCGAGCGUUGUCCGGAUUUAUUGGGCGUAAAGCGAGCGCAGGCGGUUAGAUAAGUCUGAAGUUAAAGGCUGUGGCUUAACCAUAGUACGCUUUGGAAACUGCUUAACUUGAGUGCAGAAGGGGAGAGUGGAAUUCCAUGUGUAGCGGUGAAAUGCGUAGAUAUAUGGAGGAACACCGGUGGCGAAAGCGGCUCUCUGGUCUGUAACUGACGCUGAGGCUCGAAAGCGUGGGGAGCAAACAGGAUUAGAUACCCUGGUAGUC
RNAcentral lists this ribosomal RNA (464 nucleotides) under uncultured bacterium. Its description in RNAcentral is "partial 16S ribosomal RNA". It matches the Rfam family "Bacterial small subunit ribosomal RNA", at positions 339 to 795 of the family's 1533-position model. The record is from RNAcentral.